CCUACGGGAGGCAGCAGUGGGGAAUUUUGCACAAUGGGCGCAAGCCUGAUGCAGCGACGCCGCGUGAGGGAUGACGGCUUUCGGGUUGUAAACCUCUUUUAUCCACCACGAAGGCCAGGUAUUCGCCUGGUUGACGGUAGUGGUUGAAUAAGCGCCGGCUAACUACGUGCCAGCAGCCGCGGUAAU
Molecule: ribosomal RNA, 186 nt
Filed under: uncultured bacterium
Lineage: Bacteria
Description: partial 16S ribosomal RNA
Rfam family: Bacterial small subunit ribosomal RNA
Source: RNAcentral